Molecule: ribosomal RNA, 714 nt
Filed under: Halomonas sp. D22A-2B
Lineage: Bacteria; Pseudomonadati; Pseudomonadota; Gammaproteobacteria; Oceanospirillales; Halomonadaceae
Description: bacterial SSU rRNA
Rfam family: Bacterial small subunit ribosomal RNA
Source: RNAcentral
CGCGUGUGUGAAGAAGGCCCUCGGGUUGUAAAGCACUUUCAGCGAGGAAGAACGCCUGUCGGUUAAUACCCGGUAGGAAAGACAUCACUCGCAGAAGAAGCACCGGCUAACUCCGUGCCAGCAGCCGCGGUAAUACGGAGGGUGCAAGCGUUAAUCGGAAUUACUGGGCGUAAAGCGCGCGUAGGUGGCUUGAUAAGCCGGUUGUGAAAGCCCCGGGCUCAACCUGGGAACGGCAUCCGGAACUGUCAGGCUAGAGUGCAGGAGAGGAAGGUAGAAUUCCCGGUGUAGCGGUGAAAUGCGUAGAGAUCGGGAGGAAUACCAGUGGCGAAGGCGGCCUUCUGGACUGACACUGACACUGAGGUGCGAAAGCGUGGGUAGCAAACAGGAUUAGAUACCCUGGUAGUCCACGCCGUAAACGAUGUCGACCAGCCGUUGGGUGCCUAGAGCACUUUGUGGCGAAGUUAACGCGAUAAGUCGACCGCCUGGGGAGUACGGCCGCAAGGUUAAAACUCAAAUGAAUUGACGGGGGCCCGCACAAGCGGUGGAGCAUGUGGUUUAAUUCGAUGCAACGCGAAGAACCUUACCUACCCUUGACAUCUACAGAAGCCGGAAGAGAUUCUGGUGUGCCUUCGGGAACUGUAAGACAGGUGCUGCAUGGCUGUCGUCAGCUCGUGUUGUGAAAUGUUGGGUUAAGUCCCGUAACGAGCGCAACCC